RNAcentral lists this unclassified non-coding RNA (230 nucleotides) under Hevea brasiliensis (rubber tree). Lineage: Eukaryota; Viridiplantae; Streptophyta; Magnoliopsida; Malpighiales; Euphorbiaceae. The record is from RNAcentral.
GAGACACCAUUGAUCAUUGUGUAAGUCUUUGCAUCUCAGUUUGUUCAUUCAAUGUCUCAAGAAGAAGCGGAGGGGCGUAUUGAGCAGUUCCUUGAUGCUCCUCUGAAUCUUGACAAAAUGAAAGUAUUAUGGUAUCAAUUGACAUCUCCACAACUGCAAAGAAGAGAGUUGCCACGACGUAUCCAAGAAACCAGCACACCAGAACCGGGAAAAUUGGUGACGAGAUCUUG